CAGCAGCCGCGGUAAUACAGAGGGUGCGAGCGUUAAUCGGAUUUACUGAGCGUAAAGCGUGCGUAGGCGGCUUCAUAAGUCGGAUGUGAAAUCCCUGAGCUUAACUUAGGAAUUGCAUUCGAUACUGGGAAGCUAGAGUAUGGGAGAGGAUGGUAGAAUUCCAGGUGUAGCGGUGAAAUGCGUAGAGAUCUGGAGGAAUACCGAUGGCGAAGGCAGCCAUCUGGCCUAAUACUGACGCUGAGGUACGAAAGCAUGGGGAGCAAACAGGAUUAGAUACCCUGGUAGUCCAUGCCGUAAACGAUGUCUACUAGCCGUUGGGGCCUUUGAGGCUUUAGUGGCGCACUAACGCGAUAAGUAGACCGCCUGGGGAGUACGGUCGCAAGACUAAAACUCAAAUGAAUUGACGGGGGCCCGCACAAGCGGUGGAGCAUGUGGUUUAAUUCGAUGCAACGCGAAGAACCUUACCUGGUCUUGACAUAGUAAGAACUUUCCAGAGAUGGGUUGGUGCUUCGGGAACUUACAUACAGGUGCUGCAUGGCUGUCGUCAGCUCGUGUCGUGAGAUGUUGGGUUAAGUCCCGCAACGAGCGCAACCCUUUUCCUUAUUUGCCAGCGGGUUAAGCCGGGAACUUUAAGGAUACUGCCAGUGACAAACUGGAGGAAGGCGGGGACGACGUCAAGUCAUCAUGGCCCUUACGACCAGGGCUACACACGUGCUACAAUGGUCGGUACAAAGGGUUGCUACCUAGCGAUAGGAUGCUAAUCUCAAAAAGCCGAUCGUAGUCCGGAUUGGAGUCUGCAACUCGACUCCAUGAAGUCGAAAUCGCUAGUAAUCGCGGAUCAGAAUGCCGCGGUGAAUACGUUCCCGGGCCUUGCACACACCGCCCGUC
This 888-nucleotide ribosomal RNA is filed under the name uncultured bacterium O18A5. RNAcentral's name for it is "bacterial SSU rRNA". It matches the Rfam family "Bacterial small subunit ribosomal RNA", at positions 509 to 1398 of the family's 1533-position model. Lineage: Bacteria; Pseudomonadati; Pseudomonadota; Gammaproteobacteria; Moraxellales; Moraxellaceae. The record is from RNAcentral.